Long non-coding RNA from Dicentrarchus labrax (European seabass), 193 nucleotides. RefSeq lists it as uncharacterized. The record is from RefSeq and is a predicted model, not a curated record. Lineage: Eukaryota; Metazoa; Chordata; Actinopteri; Moronidae. The transcript is spliced from 3 exons.
CCUCAUGCUCGCACAAUGAAACACACCACUCCGUUUCCCACCAUGCACACGAGGAAGAUCAGCAGAUAGGACACGAUGAAGAUGGCUGCUGUGGACGGCUGAUGCAGUUUCAGGUGAAGCCUGGAUACGCCACACUAAGGUCAUGAUUCACAUGAUGACAACUGAACCCACAUGAAUCUAAAUAACAACAGAG